UGUCAAGGUCCUUUAACUUACCCUGAGAUUU
This 31-nucleotide non-coding RNA is filed under the name Mus musculus (house mouse). Lineage: Eukaryota; Metazoa; Chordata; Mammalia; Rodentia; Muridae. The record is from RNAcentral.